Molecule: unclassified non-coding RNA, 198 nt
Filed under: uncultured Diversispora
Lineage: Eukaryota; Fungi; Glomeromycota; Glomeromycetes; Diversisporales; Diversisporaceae
Description: partial internal transcribed spacer 2
Source: RNAcentral
AAAUAACAUUCGUGAAUUUUUCGCGGAUUUGAGUUUUCCAGUAUUCAUUAUAAAUAAAUGUUGGUAACUUUAAAAUUAUUUAUUACUUGGUACAAGUUGAAAACGUACUAUAUGUGUGGUUCGCUGACAACUUGUCCAUCUUAUAUAUAUUAUGCGCGUGCUUGGCUUUUUAAAGUUUUGUGCGAGUAUAUAUUUUUU